This 587-nucleotide ribosomal RNA is filed under the name uncultured bacterium. RNAcentral's name for it is "bacterial SSU rRNA". It matches the Rfam family "Bacterial small subunit ribosomal RNA", at positions 338 to 916 of the family's 1533-position model. The record is from RNAcentral.
CCUACGGGAGGCAGCAGUGGGGAAUUUUGCGCAAUGGGCGGAAGCCUGACGCAGCAACGCCGCGUGGAGGAUGAAGGUCUUUGGAUUGUAAACUCCUGUCAGCAGGGAAAAAGGGACUGGACCUCAUACGUCUGGAACUUGAUUGUACCUGCAGAGGAAGCCCCGGCUAACUCUGUGCCAGCAGCCGCGGUAAUACAGAGGGGGCGAGCGUUAUUCGGAAUUAUUGGGCGUAAAGGGCGCGUAGGCGGCUUUGCAAGUGACGGGUGAAAGCCCUCGGCUUAACCGAGGAACUGCCUGUCAGACUGUGAGGCUUGAGACCGGGAGAGGUGAGUGGAAUUCCCAGUGUAGCGGUGAAAUGCGUAGAUAUUGGGAGGAACACCAGUGGCGAAGGCGGCUCACUGGACCGGAACUGACGCUGAGGCGCGAAAGCGUGGGGAGCAAACAGGAUUAGAUACCCUGGUAGUCCACGCCGUAAACGAUGAGUGCUUGGUGUAGCGGGUAUCGACCCCUGCUGUGCCGAAGUCAACACAUUAAGCACUCCGCCUGGGGAGUACGGUCGCAAGACUGAAACUCAAAGGAAUUGACGG